GACGAACGCUGGCGGCGUGCCUAAUACAUGCAAGUAGAACGCUGAAGAGAGGAGCUUGCUCUUCUUGGAUGAGUUGCGAACGGGUGAGUAACGCGUAAGUAACCUGCCUUGUAGCGGGGGAUAACUAUUGGAAACGAUAGCUAAUACCGCAUAACAAUGGAUGACACAUGUCAUUUAUUUGAAAGGGGCAAUUGCUCCACUACAAGAUGGACCUGCGUUGUAUUAGCUAGUAGGUGAGGUAAUGGCUCACCUAGGCGACGAUACAUAGCCGACCUGAGAGGGUGAUCGGCCACACUGGGACUGAGACACGGCCCAGACUCCUACGGGAGGCAGCAGGAGGGAAUCUUCGGCAAUGGGGGCAACCCUGACCGAGCAACGCCGCGUGAGUGAAGAAGGUUUUCGGAUCGUAAAGCUCUGUUGUAAGUCAAGAACGGGUGUGAGAGUGGAAAGUUCACACUGUGACGGUAGCUUACCAGAAAGGGACGGCUAACUACGUG
RNAcentral lists this ribosomal RNA (497 nucleotides) under uncultured bacterium. Its description in RNAcentral is "partial 16S ribosomal RNA". It matches the Rfam family "Bacterial small subunit ribosomal RNA", at positions 28 to 507 of the family's 1533-position model. The record is from RNAcentral.